CACGUAGGCACCAAGCGUUGUCCGGAUUUAUUGGGCGUAAAGAGCUCGUAGGCGGUUCAGUAAGUCGGGUGUGAAAACUUUGGGCUUAACCCAAAGCGUGCAUCUGAUACUGCUGUGACUUGAGUUCGGUAGGGGAGUGGGGAAUUCCUAGUGUAGCGGUGAAAUGCGCAGAUAUUAGGAGGAACACCGGUGGCGAAGGCAGCCUUCUGGGCCAACACUGACGCUCAUGCACGAAAGCGUGGGGAGCAAACAGG
This 254-nucleotide ribosomal RNA is filed under the name uncultured bacterium. RNAcentral's name for it is "partial 16S ribosomal RNA". It matches the Rfam family "Bacterial small subunit ribosomal RNA", at positions 524 to 776 of the family's 1533-position model. The record is from RNAcentral.